CCCAGUUGUGAAGGCGGCUGUCUGGUCUGUAACUGACGCUGAGGAAGAAAGCAUGGGUAGCGAACAGGAUUAGAUACCCUGGAAGCGAGGCCGUAAACGAUGAGUGCUAAGUGUUGGAGGGUUUCCGCCCUUCAGUGCUGCAGCUAACGCAUUAAGCACGCCGCCUGAGGGGAGUACGACCGCAAGGUUGAAACUCAAAGGAAUUGACGGGGGCCCGCACAAGCGGUGGAGCAUGUGGUUUAAUUCGAAGCUACGCGAAGAACCUUACCAGGUCUUGACAUCUUCUGCCAAUCUAAGAGAUUAGACGUUCCCUUCGGGGACAGAAUGACAGGUGGUGCAUGGUUGUCGUCAGCUCGUGUCGGGAGAUGUUGGGUUAAGUCCCGCUAUCGAGUGCAACCCCUUAUUAUCAGUUGCCAGCAUUUUGUUUGGGCACUCUGGUUAGGACUCCGGUGACAAACCGGAGGGAGGGUGGGGAUGACGUCAAUCAUCAUGCCCCUUAUGACUUUGGUAUAA
This 513-nucleotide ribosomal RNA is filed under the name uncultured Lactobacillaceae bacterium. RNAcentral describes it as "bacterial SSU rRNA". It matches the Rfam family "Bacterial small subunit ribosomal RNA", at positions 708 to 1218 of the family's 1533-position model. Lineage: Bacteria; Bacillati; Bacillota; Bacilli; Lactobacillales; Lactobacillaceae. The record is from RNAcentral.